GGAGUAUAACGCUGAAGUACUAAGGCGUGUGCUUUCGGGUGAAAGGGGGCCAAUUGCAGAUGCAUUAAUACUGAAUGCCGCAGCAGCAUUAUUAGUCAGUGGGCGAGUUGGUAACUUAGCUGAAGGAGUAGCCGUGGCACGUAUGACACAUGAAUCUGGGAAAGCUCUCAAUACUCUUAAUCAUUGGAUUGCUGUUUCGAAGGAUAUUGUAUUACAUUUA
Molecule: unclassified non-coding RNA, 220 nt
Filed under: Hevea brasiliensis (rubber tree)
Lineage: Eukaryota; Viridiplantae; Streptophyta; Magnoliopsida; Malpighiales; Euphorbiaceae
Source: RNAcentral